This is a long non-coding RNA of Bufo bufo (common toad), 2401 nucleotides long. RefSeq lists it as uncharacterized. Lineage: Eukaryota; Metazoa; Chordata; Amphibia; Anura; Bufonidae. The record is from RefSeq and is a predicted model, not a curated record. The transcript is spliced from 3 exons.
GUAAGCAAUGUUGUUUUCCCCUCACCCAUGACGGCACCCCAUGCGAGAGACUAUACAUGAGGAAAUUAGGGUGGGACCACCGCCUGAAGCACCUUCCUACCAAAGGCGGUAUCUGCGUGAAGUUGGAGCCUGUAAUGCUUUAAUAAAGUAUGUGGGGGAACUCCACGUUGGCGCUCUACAAAUUUGGGCCAGAGAGGCAUCCGCCUUCUCGGCCCAGGACAUAGCCACCGAUCGGGUGGAGUGAGCUCCAAACCCUGAAGGGGGAGAGAGACCCUGUGUUAGGUAGGCCUUGGAAAUUGCCCUUUUGACCCAUCUAGCAAUGACUGCCGUGGACACUUUUCGUCCAAAUAAGUUAAGACAUCUUUUAACGUCAAGGCAAUGAUACUCCCUUUCUAAAUCCUUGGAAGGAUUUGUGCCAAAGGAUGGAAGGAUAACAUCCUGACUUCUGUGGAAGUCCGUAACCAAUUUUGGCUGAAAGGACGGGAGUGGCCUGAUGAUAACCUUGUCAUCUAAGAUCUGGGUAUACGGAGGAAAAGCCGAGAAGGCUUGCAUCUCUGAAAUCCAUCUAGCCGAUGUAAUGGCCAGCCACGUCCGAGAGGUCUAUAUCAGAAUCCCUAACAUCCGGGGACUUGUCUGGUGACCUAUGGCUGCCCUUAUUAAAUGAUUUUAAGGAGGCCCUGACCUCGGAUCGUAUUAAGGACCUCAUGUUUCUGGAGAGGCUCCGAGACUUCUCCGCCGCUUAGAAUAAGAAGAUGCUAGGGCAACUCUGCAUCCUGCACACUUUACGCUUUGUUUUUGAAGCUGCUUUUUUGGGGGUCUUUGCAACCUAAAACACCCCAUUAAUAAAAAGAUCAACCUCACCACUGAUCUUUGUCCCCACUCCUCAGGACCGGACUAGCAGGCCUCGAGGGUUCAGCGCGUCCAUCUGCUGGCUCUGUCAUCCUGUAGGAAUGGAGCCUCUUCAGCACAGCACAGCACUGUGUGCUACAUCAGCUGGCUGGAUUCCCCCGCAGCCCCAUUUAUAUUUUAACAGACGCGCCUAGGCUAUUCCAGCGCUUUUCCCCCCCGCUUCCGGGUUAAGCCCCGCCCACCGGAGUGUGCAUGCGCCUCCCCGACAGGAAACUGGGCAAAACGCCGUACAGCAUGAGGGAAGCUGCUUGAACACUGCCACAGCAGCUCCCUCGGGAUCGGCGCCGGAAUGCAGACUUUAGGCAGCAGCUCUCAGAGAGCUUUCAGCCGCCUGGGGAAGGCCCCCCACUGGAUCAGAACCUGGGCCUCCCCCCAGCUGCAGGUGAGAAUCAUCUUCAAACUUCCCAGGAACUGGGAAACCUGAACUGGUGCUUGGUGGGGGUGUGAACCUUUUAUCUUCUCAGGUUUCCUGUCCCAGAUGGGAGGAGAUGUAGGGAGCGGUCAGUGCUGCACUGCCUACACUUACUGCUCCUUGGUCAACUUAAACGCCACACAUGUCCUGACUGCAAUGGCAUCAGGACAUAGGCUUACACCAUGACCUGACACUGGGUGACAUCAGGUCGCAGUGCAGCACCGGACAAGACCAGGGAGCAGUGACAUCCAGAGCAGGAGAGGCAAGUUCAUUUAUUUUAUGUCUGAUUGAAAAGGUUUUCCUCUAAAACCUAGGUGCAUCUUAUGGUCAUAACAUCUUCUGGAUUGACAAUAGUGCGGAUUUCAUGCACCAUGUGCAGUUUUUUUUAUGCCAAAACAAGUAGUGGACAAAAAAUAAAUAAAUUCUGCAUGCAGUUUUGGAAGCCAAGACCAGGAGCAAUUGUCAAAAGGAGUUAUAAAAACGUUAUACUUUCUCUCCUUUCAUAAUCCACGCCUGAUCUCGGCUUCUAAAACUGCACACAGAAACCUGACCAUGUGGUCAUAUCCUGAUGGUGACUAAUCUCCUACUGGGUCUCAGUCUGUUCACAUGGUGCGGUGCUGCGUGGUGGCUGUUGCUGUGCCUGUAGGUUGGUGGGGCCCAGUGCCGUGGAGGAUUUUCCUGAUAGCAGGAGUGUUGGUGAGCUGCUGGGUCUCACCAUCUACAGGUGCUGUGUUGUGGUGGCAGUGGUAACCAUGCAGUAAUUUAGAGCAGGGAUCCACUCCUUAGAGACCACCUUGACGUGGUGGGUGGGUCCAUGUAUUUUGACCAAAACAUAUACUAAGUGUUCCAUGUACACAUUUAUAAAUUAUGCAAAGCAAUAGAUCAAUGCCUGGCAUGUAGAUGUGUGAUCCAUCCUUCUCCAGAGUCUACCAGUUUACAUUACCUCUACAAUCUAGAGCAAGGGUUAGACAGGAUGUACACACAUCUGGUAUGCAACCCCCAUACCUUGGCUUUUCAGAUGAGCUUUUCUUUGCCAUCUUCUCUGGUGUAACAUUUUCUUCAUUUCCUUGUUUCUUGGAG